AUAACCCGCGUUACUUCUUACUUUUUUUAAAAGUUUUUAUAUCGCUGUCUUUCAAUAUAGAUUAUAAUUUAUAUUACCCUAAUUCAUUUACCACGUCAAGUCGAGAUAAAGCCUAUAAAAAAGGGAGCCGAGUUACUCAUACUUUUAUUUAAGUUUACAUUUUUAAAAACAUUUAAAUCUAGGAUUUGAAAGUAAUAAAAUAAUAAUCUUCUUUUAUGAAAUAUCAAUCUAGGUGUACAUAUCGCCCGUCACCCUCGUCCAAAGAUGAGGUAAGUCGUAACAUAGUUAAUAUACUGGAAAGUGUAUUAAGGG
This 312-nucleotide ribosomal RNA is filed under the name Augacephalus junodi. RNAcentral describes it as "partial 12S ribosomal RNA". The record is from RNAcentral. Lineage: Eukaryota; Metazoa; Arthropoda; Arachnida; Araneae; Theraphosidae.